RNAcentral lists this ribosomal RNA (402 nucleotides) under uncultured bacterium. RNAcentral describes it as "bacterial SSU rRNA". It matches the Rfam family "Bacterial small subunit ribosomal RNA", at positions 355 to 774 of the family's 1533-position model. The record is from RNAcentral.
UGGGGAAUCUUGCACAAUGGGGGAAACCCUGAUGCAGCGACGCCGCGUGAACGAUGAAGCCCUUCGGGGUGUAAAGUUCUUUCGACAGGAACGAUAAUGACGGUACCUGGAGAAGAAGCUGCGGCUAACUACGUGCCAGCAGCCGCGGUAAUACGUAGGCAGCGAGCGUUGUUCGGAGUUACUGGGCGUCAAGAGUGCGUAGGCGGCGAGCCAAGUUUGGUGUGAAAUCUCCCGGCUUAACCGGGAGGGUGCGCCGAAAACUGGUUGGCUGGAGUAUGGGAGAGGAAAGCGGAAUUCCUGGUGUAGCGGUGAAAUGCGUAGAUAUCAGGAGGAACACCUGCGGUGUAGACAGCUUUCUGGACCAAAACUGACGCUGAGGCACGAAAGCGUGGGUAGCAAACA